GUGAGGAAUUUUCCGCAAUGGGCGAAAGCCUGACGGAGCAAUGCCGCGUGAAGGAUGAAGGCCUAUGGGUUGUAAACUUCUUUUCUCAGAAAAGAAUUAUGACGGUAUCUGAGGAAUAAGCAUCGGCUAACUCUGUGCCAGCAGCCGCGGUAAGACAGAGGAUGCAAGCGUUAUCCGGAAUGAUUGGGCGUAAAGCGUCUGUAGGUUGUUUAAAAAGUAUUCUGUCAAAGAUUAGGGCUUAACCCUAGAUAGGCAGAAUAAACUUUUAAGCUAGAGUUUGGUAGAGGCAGAGGGAAUUCCCGGUGGAGCGGUGAAAUGCGUAGAUAUCGGGAGGAACACCAAAGGCGAAGGCACUCUGCUGGGCCAAUACUAACACUGAGAGACGAAAGCGAGGGGAGCGAAUGGGAUUAGAUACCCCGGUAGUCC
Molecule: ribosomal RNA, 426 nt
Filed under: uncultured bacterium
Lineage: Bacteria
Description: partial 16S ribosomal RNA
Rfam family: Bacterial small subunit ribosomal RNA
Source: RNAcentral